UUUUGUGCUUCUUUCCCACCUGUUGCUGCUAACAAAUGCUCUGACUUUAUUGCACUACUGUACUUCACAGCUAGCAGUGCAAUAGUAUUGUCAAAGCAUCUGAAAGCAGGAUGCACACCAGAA
RNAcentral lists this microRNA precursor (123 nucleotides) under Procavia capensis (Cape rock hyrax). RNAcentral describes it as "miRNA (ENSPCAG00000019149.1, ENSPCAG00000019656.1)". The stretch from base 27 to 110 matches the Rfam family "mir-301 microRNA precursor family". The record is from RNAcentral. Lineage: Eukaryota; Metazoa; Chordata; Mammalia; Hyracoidea; Procaviidae.